Pelobates cultripes (western spadefoot toad) is the source of this 236-nucleotide non-coding RNA. Lineage: Eukaryota; Metazoa; Chordata; Amphibia; Anura; Pelobatidae. The record is from the annotation of a GenBank genome assembly.
GAUCAGUGAGACAGGUGCUGGUAAGGCAAUUACUUUAUUAGUCACCUGGUCCCUGCGAAAAACACUCAUGUUUUUAAGACACGUGCUUACCAACCAUUUAUCUUUUACUAAGAUAGCAUGUACUAACGCAUUACUGUCGGUUUUUGACAUAGUUACUUGACAUGUUUCAGAGCCAUGUUUAAGGUACUCGAUCCCACACAAAGCAUUGGUAGAAUCGUACACAAAAGGUUUUCCAU